GCCGGGGUGGUGGAAUUGGCAGACACACAGGACUUAAAAUCCUGCGGUAAGUAUAUUACCGUGCCGGUUCGAGUCCGGCCCUCGGCACCA
Molecule: transfer RNA, 90 nt
Filed under: Alkalicoccus saliphilus
Lineage: Bacteria; Bacillati; Bacillota; Bacilli; Caryophanales; Bacillaceae
Also listed under: 1 other name
Description: tRNA-Leu
Rfam family: tRNA
About the family: Transfer RNA (tRNA) molecules are approximately 80 nucleotides in length. Their secondary structure includes four short double-helical elements and three loops (D, anti-codon, and T loops).
Source: RNAcentral